UACAGAGGUCCCAAGCGUUACUGAGAAUCACUGGGUUUAAAGGGUGCGUAGGUGGUCCGUUAAGUCAGUUGUGAAAUCCCCGGGCUCAACCCGGGAACUGCUUCUGAUACUGGCGGACUUGAGGCCAGUAGGGGUCACUAGAACUGACGGUGGAGCGGUGAAAUGCGCAGAUAUCAGGAGGAACACCGGUGGCGAAGGCGGGUCUCUGGGCCGAUACUGACGCUGAGGAGCGAAAGCGUGGGGAGCGAACAGG
Molecule: ribosomal RNA, 253 nt
Filed under: uncultured bacterium
Lineage: Bacteria
Description: partial 16S ribosomal RNA
Rfam family: Bacterial small subunit ribosomal RNA
Source: RNAcentral